This is a non-coding RNA of Peromyscus maniculatus bairdii (prairie deer mouse), 140 nucleotides long. NCBI's taxonomy places the organism in Eukaryota, Metazoa, Chordata, Mammalia, Rodentia, Cricetidae. The record is from RefSeq and is a predicted model, not a curated record.
CUUUCUUUGUCAGCCUCCUUGACAACAAAUGGUUUGCCUGAGAGCACAGAUAGCAAAGAGUCAGACCUACAGCCAAGUGAAGAGAAAGUCCACAGUGAUUCUCCAGGAUCCGAAUCCGAGGUUUCCUCACUGAGCCCUGU